Molecule: non-coding RNA, 762 nt
Organism: Gasterosteus aculeatus aculeatus (three-spined stickleback)
Lineage: Eukaryota; Metazoa; Chordata; Actinopteri; Perciformes; Gasterosteidae
Source: RefSeq, a predicted model, not a curated record
CCGUCAUGUAUCUGACAAAGAGCUUUUUCUUUACGAUGUUUCAGGGGAAGAAGAGAGAGAGAGCGGCGUGACGUCACACACGCGGCUUCUAAACGCGCUGAUCGGUGCAACAACAGUCAUCUGUAUAACUGCAGUUAUCUUUGGGUUGAUCUACAGGGGAAAACGUCACAGGUCGCGGUCAUCUGUACGUGAGACUCACGACUCUGUUGAAGACGACCCAGAUGACCCGUAUACGAGCCUCCAGCAACCAGCCGCUGACCUUUACCAGACGAUCUCCCACUCAAGAGGCUCUAAAGACCAGGAAGUAGACAGAGGAGACUCUGAUCAAAGUUGCCAGGACACUUAUGAAAAUAUGACUCCGUAAGCAGCACGAGGACUGUGACUUGUGUUUGUACUUGAUCAUGAUUUCUUGCAAUAAGAUGUGAUUUAAGUAGAUGUUGAAUGAGCUGAAGGUCCUUUUGAGUGACAUUUCACUGGGAUCAGUGUAACUGUUCUCUGUCCUCUUUCACUGCACAAAAUAUUCAAGAUUCAUUGUCUGAAAACACGUUUAUCACUAAAAUGUUGCUUGUCGGUGACUGUGUCCAAUAACAAGUGUCAAGAGAUAUUUUAACAAGUACACACAGGAGGAUCUUAAAAAUCUGUAUUUUCCUCUUGGUAAUGAAAUGUAACCUUUUAAGUUACUACUUUGUUUUUAAAUACUCUCUAUGAAAGUAAAGCAGUGGUUGAAGGAUUAUGAAAUGCAAUAAAGGGAAUAACACAUUA